RNAcentral lists this long non-coding RNA (5108 nucleotides) under Podarcis lilfordi (Lilford's wall lizard). Lineage: Eukaryota; Metazoa; Chordata; Lepidosauria; Squamata; Lacertidae. The record is from RNAcentral.
GCCUCUUCGUGACCCCCUGGGCCAGAGCACGCCAGGCCCUCCUGUCUUCCACUGCCUCCCGCAGUUUGGUCAAACUCAUGCUGGCAGCUUUGAGAACACUGUCCCACCAUCUCGUCCUCUGUCGUCCCCUUCUCCUUGUGCCCUCCAUCUUUCCCAGCAUCAGGGUCUUUUCCAGGGAGUCUUCUCUUCUCAUGAUGUGGCCAAAGUCUUGGAGCCUCAGCUUCAGGAUCUGUCCUUCCAGUGAGCACUCAGGGCUGAUUUCCUUCAGAAUGGAGAGGUUUGAUCUUCUCGCAGUCCAUGGGACUCUCAAGAGUCUCCUCCAGCACCAUAAGUCAAAAGCAUCCAUUCUUUGGUGAUCAGCCUUCUUGAUGGUCCAGCUCUCGCUUCCAUACAUCACUACUGGGAAAACCAUAGCUUUUGCUAUACGGACCUUUGUUGGCAAGGUGAUGUCUCUGCUGUCUCUAGAUAGCAUCUUAAAAAGUAGAGACCAAAAAAAAAGUAGCCCCCCCCCCUUCCUUGGAGGUUUUUAAACCAAGAUUGGAGGCUCAUCUGCCAGGGAUCCAUUAGCGGAGGUUCCUGCAUUGCAGUGGGUUGGACCAGAUGACCUUUGGGUGCCUUCAAACUCUGUAGUUUUAUGAUUCUAUGAUUCCUUGCACCGCACACACAACUCUUCCCCCCUUUUCUCGUCUCUCACUGUCAAGGGCACCAGAUACCUCCCGGGGCCGCGAGGAAGAGACCUCCUCGCUCUGUUGCCUUCCAGACCCGCCACUUAAACUUGUUCCAGGAGUCAGAGGCCUGACUUUAAUUGUUUUCCCGUUCUAUCGAUCCCUGCCCUCUUUUCCUCCCCUUCUCCUCCUCCUCCGAAUCAAUGGGCCUUUUCAAUUUGGGGACAGAGGAAAGGGUGGAGGUUGGCUGAAGAAUUACUUUUUUUUUCUUCUUUUUUUAACGAAGAGAGCGAAAGGUUUGGUGGUGGUGGGUGGAAAUAUCCCUCCAGUCUUUGAAAGAUUUCUGAUAUCGAUCCGCCGGGAAAGAGAAGCAGCAACCUUGUCGGAGAUCAAUUAACCAAAUCAUUAGCCGUGGUCAAAGAGGAGAAAUAUGAGUCUUGUUUGCGCCGCGGAGAAAGUGAAGAGGGAAGGGGGUUCACGGUGGCUCUCCUACUCAGGAGGAAGCCGUGCUGAGUCUGGCGGGGCUGACCCCCAAGUAGGGAGAAAGGUCUGCCCAGUUCCCAAACCAAUAUCCCAACCGAAAUCACAUAUGUAUUUAUUUAUUACCUGCGUAUCGGAUCCUUGAGAUCCCAAGGGGCUCCAGGUGUCAUGCCCAGUUCUCUUCUCGCCCCUCAUUUUAUCCCACAACAACCCUGUGAGGUGGGCAAGGCUGAGAGACUCUGACUGGCCCCCGGGGUCACCCCACAUGCUUGGUUGGACAGAUUUGAACUCUGAUCUCCCAGGUCCUUAGCCUGAUACUCUAACCCAGGCAUAGGCAAACUCUGGCCCUCCAGAUGUUUGGGACUACAAUUCCCAUCAUCCCUAGCUAACAGGACCAGUGGUCAGGGAUGAUGGGAAUCGUAGUCCCACGAAAGGAACGUCUUACCAGUUAGAUUCCUUAAUAAUCACGGGGUGAGAAAAACGAACACGUCUAUCUAGAAUGGCGGUGCUCCCAAUUAAGUCUUACUCCCCCUCCCUCUGUCCCUAUUAGUCUACUACAUCAUUCCUAUGUAUUGCAAUAUGAGCUUGUAACCUCUUUGCUUUCUGUUCUGGCGCUUUCUGAACUCUCCAUGUCUUUGGGGAAGGGGGGGUGAAUGCUGUCCUGAGACUGUGAAUCUGUUAAUAUAAUAAUAAUAAUAAUAAUAAUAAUAAUAAUAAUAAUAAUAAUUUAUUAUUUAUACCCCGCCCAUCUGGCUAAGUUUCCCCAGCCACUCUGGGCAGCUUCCAAUCGAGAGUUAAAAACAAUACAGCAUUAACCCUCUCUCUGCUAGUGUUUCUUCUGCUAGCUGUUUCGCCAUCCAGUAUUUCCUAGCUUCUGCCUUCUGAACUGUGCCCCUCUGCAAACCACUCUUCCAAAUCUAUACUGCCCUCCUGCUUCCUGGGAAGAUUCAGGAUCAGGAAGAAGGGGUGGCUCCCACCAAUCUUCCUCCGUGCAGCCCUCCUCAGAAUGGUCCCUGACAUCUGGCCAGAUGCUGUAGCCAUCACUGAAAGCAGGCUAGGCCUCUUGAGGAGCCUUCAUGGAAGAGGCGCAGUGUCUUCGGAAGAACCUAGAACCGCAAAGCCAGAUCAUUUGGUAUACGCUGUGCAUCUGUAAAAGCCUUGCUGAAAUGGGCGGAUGAUCUGAAGGAAACUGCAUGCACCUCCUCUCCAGAAUUGCAGCCCCAAAUCCUCUCCGGGAAACUACCGUAUUUUUUGCUUUAUAAGACUCACUUUUUCACUCCUAAAAAGUAAGGGGAAAUGUGUGUGCGUCUUAUGGAGCGAAUGCAGGCUGCACAGCUAUCCCAGAAGCCAGAACAGCAAGAGGGAUUGCUGCUUUCGCUGCGCAGCGAUCCCUCUUGCUGUUCUGGCUUCUGAGAUUCAGAAUAUUUUUUUUCUUGUUUUCCUCCUCCAAAAACUAGGUGCGUCUUGUGGUCUGGUGCGUCUUAUAGAGCGAAAAAUACUGUAAUUUGGGGUGAGUGGGAUGCGAGUGGAAUUUUGUAAUGAUGAAGGAGAGGGCCACAGAUCCGCUCUGCAUGCAGAUAGCAUCUUUAAGUAGGACUGGGAAUAUCCCCUGCCUGAAACGAUGGAGAGCAGCUGCCAGCCAGUGUAAACUGUACUGAGUAAGGAGGGGUCCAUGACCUGGCUUGGUAGAAAGCCAUUUCUGGUUCUUGGGUAUCAGUUUAAGUCAGAACAUGAGGAACAGAAGCUUAAUUUUAAGUAAAAGGACAGAGCUCAGCAGUAGAGCAGGAAGAAGUCCCUGGGUCCAGUAACCAAUGGCAUCUUCAGGUAGCGAUGGGAGAGAGACUUCCUGUCUGAAACCCUGUAAUCAUAGAAUUGUAGAGUUAGAAGGGACUACAAGGGUGGUGUUAUGGUCUAAACCACUGAGCCUCUUGGGCUUGCCAAUCGGAAGGUCGGGGGUUCGAAUCCCUGCGACGGGGUGAGCUCCUGGUCCCUGCUCCUACCAACCUAGCAGUUCGAAAGCACACCGGUGCAAGUAGAUAAAUAGGUACCACUCCAGCGGGAAGGGAAACAGCAUUUCCGUGUGCUCAGGUUUCUUUCACGGUGUCCCGUUGCACCAGAAGCAGUUUAGUCCUGCUGGCCACAUGACCCAGGAAGCUCUCUGUGGAUAAACGCCGGCUCCCUCGGCCUGAAAAAGAGAUGAGCGCUGCAACCCCAUAGUCGCCUUUGACUCGACUUAACCGUCCAGGGGUCCUUUGCCUAACAAGGGUCAUCUAGUCCAACCCCCUGCAGUACAGGAAUAUUGUUGUCUGACACAGGGCUCGAACCCACAACCCUGGGAUUGAGAUGACUCCUUGUUGCCCGUCAGCAUGGACAAGACUGAAACCAGAUGAACCAAAUGGUGGGAUGAGGUGGGCUCCCAUGAUCCUCUGGAAGGAACACGUAAAUUCGUCUUCUCUUGAAGGAUUUGCAUUAAACCAGGGGUCAGCAAACAUUUUCAGCAGGGGGCCAGUCUACUGUCCCUCAGACUUUGUGGGGGGCCGGACUAUAUUUUUUUUGGGGGGGGGAAAUGAACAAAUUCCUAUGCCCCACAAAUAACCCAGAGAUGCAUUUUAAUUAAAAGCACACAUUCUACUCAUGUAAAAACACGCAGAUUCCUGGACUGUACGCAGGCCGGACUGAGAAGGCGAUUGGGCCGGAUCCGGCCCCUGGGCCUUCGUUUGCCGACCCAUGCAUUAAACAAACGGGACCGCCUCUUCCUUUGAUUCUGCGCUUCCGGCCCAGAAGCCUGCCAGGCUUUGAUACCCCCCUCCUCCUCAAACCGGAUCUCACAAACCUUAAGCCUGCCCCGGGAAAGAGAAACUGGGGCACUCCGGCAGAGCCGUCCCGGAGACGAGCGAAACAAAUUACCUGCCUCUCCCCUCUCGCCUCCUCUCUGUUUAAGCCCGGUUAAUAGCAAAGUGUCCCCUGGUUUGAAACCCAAAUGGCAUUUCCACCCCCCCCUCCUCUCAGAGUUACAAUAACUGAGCUAUUACCCGCCCUAUUGAUGCUCUCUCCGUGCCGAACGGACUGGCUCAUCCCAAGCCGGCCGCCGAAAGCUCCUUCAGUCAAUAUCAGUUCUAUUUUUCAUUACUCCCUGGAAAUGUGGCGCUUGGAAGCUCAUCCGUCAUUCAAUUACACCCCGGUUCAGGCCUAUCAUACACGUGUCAUAAAGUUCCUCAGAUCUGAACCGCUGUUAAUUUUCUGCGCCGUCCCGAGGGGGUGCCCGGGACGUGAUCGGAAAGUAACGAGGCGAGUGGAGGGCAUGAUGGGUAAGGGGGAGGCGGCUAGGGAAUUGAGCGGCACUCGGGCUGGAGUGGUACACACACAGAGAGAGAGAGAGAGAGAGACAGCAUGUGGAGGAAAAGCUCGGCUCCAAACCAAAGCGCCGUUCAUUGCCGUCACCGUCUCUUCACCUCUGCAAAUUCGCUGCAUCAACACGAUGGAUGGGAUCGCUUUAGGCCAUCCACGGGCGCCCGUUUGCGCCACUUUGUUGUUGUUUAGUCAUUUAGUCGUGUCCGACUCUUCGUGACCCCCUGGACCAGAGCACACCAGGCACUCCUGUCUUCCACUGCCAGUUUGGUCAAACUCAUGCUGGUAGCUUCGAGAACACUGUCCCACCAUCUCGUCCUCUGUCGUCCCCUUCUCCUUGUGCCCUCCAUCUUUCCCAACAUCAGGGUCUUUUCCAGGGAGUCUUCUCUUCUCCUGAGGUGGCCAAAGUCUUGGAGCCUCAGCUUCAAGAUCUGUCCUUCCAGUGAGCACUCAGGGCUGAUUUCCUUCAGAAUGGAGAGGUUUGAUCUUCUUGCAGUCCAUGGGACUCUCAAGAGUCUCCUCCAGCACCAGAAUUCAAAAGCAUCCAUUCUUCAGCGAUCAGCCUUCUUUAUGGUCCAGCUCUCACUUCCAUACAUCACUACUGGGAAAACCAUG